CCUACGGGUGGCAGCAGUGAGGAAUAUUGGUCAAUGGGCGGGAGCCUGAACCAGCCAAGUCGCGUGAGGGACGACGGUCCUAUGGAUUGUAAACCUCUUUUGUCGGGGAACAAAUGCGCCCACGUGUGUGCGGAUGAGUGUACCCGUAGAAACAGCAUCGGCUAACUCCGUGCCAGCAGCCGCGGUAAUACGGAGGAUGCGAGCGUUAUCCGGAUUUAUUGGGUUUAAAGGGUGGGUAGGCGGACAGUCAAGCCAGCGGUAAAAAUGCGGUGCUCAACGCCGUACAGCCGUUGAAACUGGCAGUCGUGAGUGGGCGAGAAGCAAGCGGAAUGCGUGGUGUAGCGGUGAAAUGCAUAGA
This 358-nucleotide ribosomal RNA is filed under the name uncultured bacterium. Its description in RNAcentral is "partial 16S ribosomal RNA". It matches the Rfam family "Bacterial small subunit ribosomal RNA", at positions 338 to 694 of the family's 1533-position model. The record is from RNAcentral.